Molecule: long non-coding RNA, 276 nt
Organism: Salvia splendens (bonfire salvia)
Lineage: Eukaryota; Viridiplantae; Streptophyta; Magnoliopsida; Lamiales; Lamiaceae
Exons: 2
Source: RefSeq, a predicted model, not a curated record
UUACGAGGAAAGUGUGGUUGAAGAAGGGAAUUAUUUUAAAAGCUAAGCAAUCGAGGUUGAGCGGCGAUGGGGAGGACGGAUGUUGAGCAGUUAAAGUCAAAAUGCGUUUCACUUUGUUUUGGAUAAUGUCGUGUCGUCAUACCCGGCAUUAUCUGUCUCUUGAUCUUUUUCCACUGCUUGUAAUCCGAAACAAUGUUUUCAUUUAAACUCUGGUUACUUAAACUUUUGAAAUGUCGCUACAGUACCUUGUUUUAAAAUGAAUUUCCUUUUAUUAAA